AUCGAGAAGGAGACGUUAGCGUGUGGCUGAGCCUGGAGACCCCAGCCAGAAGCUGCAGGAGGCACGAGUGGAGACUUCACACGCACUCGCACUGGGAUUCCAGGGUCUGUUUGCGUUCCAAGUCUUCCAUCUCCUGGAGCUGGGUCAGCCCGACUUCUUCUCCUCACUGUGCACCUUGGAUGAAUGGAGCCUUUAUUCACAUCCCUGCUUCUCUCCAAAAGAGCAUCUGAGACGGCGCACAACAGAGUGUCUCUGGGAGCGCACCGAUCCCCACCAGAAAGACCCCGAGCCAGGAGAAAGAGUGCAGGGGAUGUCGGAAUAUUUGGAGCCAAGCGUUACCAGGUGAAUUGUAACCGAGACCAAAAGAUAUUCGAACAAGCCGGGAAGACUGGACACAGGCGCCACGCGGGGCGGUGGUGGGGCUUGGGGUGCGCCGUGCGCGGCUCUGAGGGGCCGAGUUCCCAGCCCGCUGCCCCUCACAAUUGUCUCACUGUGCUUUUCUCCGCGUCCUGCUUCUUUCAUUCCCUGCUCUGCACAAGAGUUGUAUUCAGUGAACCUAUAGGGAAGAAAAAGCAAACAUAUAACUUUUUCCAUAAGGAAACUCGUGGGAGGUGGGCUCUGGCCUUGCGGAAUGACCGCGGCGGUGUUAUGUUUCUGUCGCUUCUCCCGCGCUUCUAACUCAAGCAGUUAGACCGGCACCUACUGAGCACCUACUAAGGGCCCGGCUCCUCUGGGUGCCGGGGGAGGGGGCGGGUAAGAGGCGCUGCACACAAACUCCUUCCCCCACGGAGUUGCCUCCUAGUGGAGAAGACACCUUCACGGAGGCGUGGAGCGGAACAAUCAGACAAGGGGCCAAAGGCUUUUGCAGGUCAGCAACGGGAGGGAAGGGUGAGAAGGAUCCCGCUGUGGGCCCAAGAAAGACCUCUCCUUCCGGCCUCCCCUCCUAUUGGGGUCUUAGUUGGGGCGCUCUCACCUGAGCCCGGCCCUGAGCAGGGACCUCCAGAAACCCCCACCCGCCAAGGUGCGAAACACUAAGUCUGAACCUUUGUUUUUGCAGCUAUAGAGUUUCCUCGUGCCUUCAGAAGCCCCGGGAAAGUAUUUGUUGAACAAGAGCAUUCAGUUAUUUCCCAGUCUUUCCCGCCCCCUUUCUUUUUCUUCUUCUCCUUUCUUUUCCUUUGCCCUUAU
Molecule: RNA transcript, 1185 nt
Organism: Fukomys damarensis (Damara mole-rat)
Lineage: Eukaryota; Metazoa; Chordata; Mammalia; Rodentia; Bathyergidae
Exons: 3
Source: RefSeq, a predicted model, not a curated record